GAUGAACGCUGGCGGCGUGCUUAACACAUGCAAGUCGAACGAAGCAUUUGCGACAGAUUUUUUCGGAAUGAAGUUGCUUAUGACUGAGUGGCGGACGGGUGAGUAACGCGUGGGUAACCUGCCUUGUACUGGGGGAUAGCAGCUGGAAACGGCUGGUAAUACCGCAUAAGCGCACAAUGUUGCAUGACAUGGUGUGAAAAACUCCGGUGGUAUAAGAUGGACCCGCGUCUGAUUAGCUAGUUGGUGAGAUAACAGCCCACCAAGGCGACGAUCAGUAGCCGACCUGAGAGGGUGACCGGCCACAUUGGGACUGAGACACGGCCCAGACUCCUACGGGAGGCAGCAGUGGGGAAUAUUGCACAAUGGAGGAAACUCUGAUGCAGCGACGCCGCGUGAGUGAAGAAGUAAUUCGUUAUGUAAAGCUCUAUCAGCAGGGAAGAUAGUGACGGUACCUGACGAAGAAGCUCCGGCUAAAUCCGUG
This 481-nucleotide ribosomal RNA is filed under the name uncultured bacterium. RNAcentral's name for it is "partial 16S ribosomal RNA". It matches the Rfam family "Bacterial small subunit ribosomal RNA", at positions 28 to 507 of the family's 1533-position model. The record is from RNAcentral.